AGGGGUGAGUGUGAGCCUUGGCGCAACGGUAAGGUUGUUCUAUUAUGCCCUAGAGGUUAUAGAUUCGAAACACAGAAACGACCUCUCCAUACAUAGGGGUAAGGCUGCAUAUAUCUUGCCAUCUCCAAAUUCCACAUUGACAAAAGCCUCAAUUUGGAAUAUCGUAUGGGAAGCCUUAAUUCCCAUGCUUAAGACAUGAAUUGCAUGCUUCACAGAAUGUGCUUCGCACUGGUUUUGAAUUUGGCUUCACGGAAACCUAUGUUGAUGCACAUUUUUGGACAUCUAUGGCUUAAUUGUUAUUUUUGAUCUUUCAGAA
RNAcentral lists this long non-coding RNA (316 nucleotides) under Phoenix dactylifera (date palm). Its description in RNAcentral is "long non-coding RNA (PDAC_LNC020043)". The record is from RNAcentral. Lineage: Eukaryota; Viridiplantae; Streptophyta; Magnoliopsida; Arecales; Arecaceae.